RNAcentral lists this ribosomal RNA (253 nucleotides) under uncultured bacterium. RNAcentral describes it as "partial 16S ribosomal RNA". It matches the Rfam family "Bacterial small subunit ribosomal RNA", at positions 524 to 776 of the family's 1533-position model. The record is from RNAcentral.
UACGAGAGGCCCAAACGUUAUUCGGAAUUACUGGGCUUAAAGCGUUCGUAGGCGGUAUGAAAAGUAGGGUGUGAAAGCCCUCGGCUUAACCGAGGAAUUGCGCUCUAAACUGUCGUACUCGAGGAACCUAGAGGUGAGCAGAACAGAUGGUGGAGCGGUGAAAUGCGUAGAUAUCAGGAGGAACACCGGUGGUGUAGACGGCUCUCUGGACCGUAACUGACGCUGAGACACGAAAGCGUGGGUAGCAAACAGG